CUAGUGGGGUACGGAUGAGUAACCGUGGAAACGUACCUUUAAGUUCGGAACAACGUGGGGAAACUUGUGCUAAUACCGGAGGUGCCCUUCGGGGGAAAGAUUUAUCGCCUUUAGAGCGGCCCGCGUUAGAUUACCUAGUUGGUGAGGUAAAGGCUCAACAAGGCUACUAUCGAUAGCUGGUCUGAGAGGAUGAUCAGCCACAUUGGGACUGAGACACGGCCCAAACUCCUACGGGAGGCAGCAGUGGGGAAUCUUGCGCAAUGGUCGAAAGACUGACGCAGCCAUGCCGCGUGAAUGAUGAAGGUCUUAGGAUUGUAAAAUUCUUUCAACAGGGACGAUAAUGACGGUACCUGCAGAAGAAGCCCCGGCUAACUUCGUGCCAGCAGCCGCGGUAAUACGAAGGGGGCUAGCGUUGCUCGGAAUUACUGGGCGUAAAGGGAGCGUAGGCGGGUUAUCAAGUUGGAGGUGAAAGCCCAGGGCUCAACCUUGGAAUUGCCUUCAAAACUGAUAGCCUAGAGUAUGAUAGAGGUAAGUGGAACUCCGAGUGUAGAGGUGAAAUUCGUAGAUAUUCGGAAGAACACCAGUGGCGAAGGCGACUUACUGGAUCAUGACUGACGCUGAGGCUCGCAAACGUGGGGAGCAAACACGAUUAUAUACCCUGGUAGUCCACGCUGUACACGAUGAUUGCUAGUUGUCGCACGAUAUGCCGCUCGGUGACGCAACUUACGCAUUAAGCAAUCCGCCUGGUGAGUACUGUCGCACAAUAAGACUCACACGAAUUGACGGGUGUCCGCCCAUGCGCUGGAGCU
Molecule: ribosomal RNA, 809 nt
Filed under: Alphaproteobacteria bacterium
Lineage: Bacteria; Pseudomonadati; Pseudomonadota; Alphaproteobacteria
Description: bacterial SSU rRNA
Rfam family: Bacterial small subunit ribosomal RNA
Source: RNAcentral